UACGGGGGGAGCAAGCGUUGUUCGGAUUUACUGGGCGUAAAGGGCGCGUAGGCGGCCACCGCAAGUCGACUGUGAAAUCUCCGGGCUUAACUCGGAAAGGUCAGCCGAUACUGCGGGGCUAGAGUGCAGAAGGGGCAACUGGAAUUCUCGGUGUAGCGGUGAAAUGCGUAGAUAUCGAGAGGAACACCUGCGGCGAAGGCGGGUUGCUGGGCUGACACUGACGCUGAGGCGCGAAAGCUAGGGGAGCAAACAGG
Molecule: ribosomal RNA, 254 nt
Filed under: uncultured bacterium
Lineage: Bacteria
Description: partial 16S ribosomal RNA
Rfam family: Bacterial small subunit ribosomal RNA
Source: RNAcentral